RNAcentral lists this ribosomal RNA (505 nucleotides) under uncultured bacterium. RNAcentral's name for it is "partial 16S ribosomal RNA". It matches the Rfam family "Bacterial small subunit ribosomal RNA", at positions 28 to 507 of the family's 1533-position model. The record is from RNAcentral.
GACGAACGCUGGCGGCGUGCUUAACACAUGCAAGUCGAACGGUGAAGCGCUUGCCUUUUUGGUGGGUGUGGAUGAGUGGCGAACGGGUGAGUAACACGUGAGUAACCUGCCCUCUUCUUCUGGAUAACCUCAUGAAAGUGGGGCUAAUACGGGGUAUUCCGGGUCUGUCGCAUGGCGGGUUUGGGAAAGAUUGCGCCUUUGGGUGUUUUCGGUGGGGGAUGGGCUCGCGGCCUAUCAGCUUGUUGGUGGGGUGAUGGCCUACCAAGGCGGUGACGGGUAGCCGGCAUGAGAGGGUGGACGGCCACACUGGGACUGAGACACGGCCCAGACUCCUGCGGGAGGCAGCAGUGGGGAAUAUUGCACAAUGGGCGCAAGCCUGAUGCAGCGACGCCGCGUGAGGGAUGGAGGCCUUCGGGUUGUGAACCUCUUUCGCCAGUGAAGCAGGCCUGCCUCGUUUGUGGGUGGGUUGACGGUAGCUGGAUAAGAAGCGCCGGCUAACUACGUG